UUGGUGCAAUAAGUAAGCCCUUGGUCCUAACACUUGUGAACCAAAAUAGACAUUGAUAAAAUAUGUUGGUGUAUAGUUUCAAUAUGUUAAUAUUUUCCAGAAUGUAUUGAUAAAGUUUAUUAUCAGUCUAUUGUUGUUGUUGUUGUUAUAGUAGUUGUUUUGAACAUUGCCAGUAAAAUUUCAAUUUUCUAAAUAAUUUACUGUUGCAAUGAAAUCCAGCGCUAGAUUUAAUGAAGAAAGAAGAAGUGCAGGCCAUUAUAGGACCUCAAUGGUCAGCACAAGCUAGGUUUGUGAUAGAACUUGGUCGUAAAACUCAGGUUCCCACCAUUUCCUUUUCAGCCACAAGUCCUUCUCUUUCUCCAUCCCAAAACAAGUUUUUCUUGCGCACAGCCCAAGAUGACUCCGCACAAGUUAAAGCCAUAGCAGACAUUGUUAAGGCCUUUGGUUGGCCGGAAAUUGUCCUUAUUUACGAAGACACAGAGUAUGGCAAUAGUUUGAUUCCACAUUUAAUGGAAGCUUUACAAGUGAUUGACACUCGGGUCCUUCAUAGAUGUGUCAUUCCUCCAUCUUCUAAUAGUACGGAAAUCAUUAAAGAGCUUAAUAAGUUAAAGGCAUAUCACAGAAGAAUAUUUCUUGUUCACAUGACUGUUUCACUUGGCUCCAAACUCUUUGCACUUGCAAAGAAUGCAGAAAUGAUGAGUGAAGGGUAUGCAUGGAUGGUCACAGAUGGUUUAUCAUCUUUGCUAGAUCCUAUGAGCUCAAAGGUCAUGGACUCAAUGCAAGGUGUAUUGGGAAUAAGGCCAUACUUAACCCCAUCUAAACAUCUAGAAGAUUUUAAAAGAAAAUGGAAGAGAAGUUUAACCUCAAUCCAGGCAAAGAUCAAGAGUACUACUAGCUUAAACCUGUUUGGAUUAUGGGCAUAUGAUACAAUUUGGGCAUUGGCUAUGGCAGUGGAGAAGGCUGGCAUGCAUUCCAGCUUCUUCAAGCAAAAUGUUAGCGGUUGUAAUGCUGAUCUGGCAGCUUUAGACAUUUUUGAAAAUGGUACAAGGCUUCGCAAUACAAUUGUAAAUACUACAUUUGAAGGCCUAAGCGGGAAUUUUGGUUUGGUUAAUGGGCAGUUGGAGCCUUCAACCUUUGAAGUAUUCAAUGUGAUAGGAAAAACCGAGAUAAAUAUUGGAUAUUGGACCCCACAGAGAGGAUUUUCCAAAGAUUUAAAGGAUACUAGUGAAAAGGCAUACUCGACCUCAAAGGACAAACUUAAACCACUGAUUUGGCCAGGAUACACAAUACACCAACCUCCUUCAAGGUUAAGGAUUGGGGUUCCAGUGAAAAAUGGUUUUAAACAAUUCGUGAAGUUGGAAUGGAAAUCUUCUACUGAUGAUUCGCCUAAUGUCUCAGGAUUUUCCAUUGAUGUGUUCAAUGCUGUACUAGUUUCAUUGCCCUUCCCCCUUCAUUAUGAGUUUAUUCCCUAUAUGAAUAAACAAAGGCAGAGCAAUGGGACAUACGAUCAACUUCUUUACGAGAUUAAGACUAAGAAGUAUGAUGCAGUUAUUGGAGACACAACAAUUAUUGCUAAUCGCUCCAUGUAUGUUGAUUUCACUUUGCCUUAUACGGAAUCAGGCGUGCAAAUGGUGGUUUCGGUAAAGCAUGAUGAGAGAAAAAGCUUGUGGAUCUUUUUAAAGCCACUAAGCUUGAAUUUAUGGCUAACAACUGGCGUAGCGUUUAUCUUUACAGGUUUGGUCAUAUGGGUUCUUGAACAUCGUGUAAACACUGAGUUUCGAGGCCCUCCAGAGCAACAACUUGGCUUGAUUUUCUGGUUCUCCUUCUCUACACUUGCCUUUGCUCACAGGGAGAAAGUGGUAAAUAAUUGGUCAAGAUUUGUGCUAGUCAUAUGGAUUUUCUUGGUACUCAUCCUAACUCAAAGUUAUACUGCUAACCUAACCUCAAUAUUAACAGUACAGAGAUUGAAACCUACAUUUGUUGACGUAAAUGAGAUUAUAAAGAAUGGUUAUUUUGUUGGAUAUCAAAAUAAUUCCUUCGUUAAGGAGCUUCUAAAAGAACAGUUAGAUAUCCAUGAGUCCAAGUUGAAACCAUAUGAGACCCUUGAAGAGUAUCAUGAAGCACUGUCAAACGGAACUCACAAUGGUGGGGUUGCAGCUAUCUUUGAUGAAAUCCCUUAUUUAAAGAUCUUCCUUGCAAAUUAUCCCUCCAAGUAUGCUACAGUUGGACCCCUCUACCAAACCGGUGGAUUUGGCUUUGCAUUCCCACAAGGAUCUCCUUUUGUCCCUCACAUGUCGAGGGCAAUCUUGAAUGUCACACAAAAUAGAUUGAAAAUUCAAGCAAUUGAGAAUAAGUACUUUUCAAGUCAGCUUACCUAUGAAGAUCAAAACACCGGAAUCUCUCCAGAUAGUCAUAGUCUUGGUGUGGACAGUUUUAGGGGCCUCUUCCUUAUCGCUGGAAUCGCUUCUAUGGUCUCACUCUUGGUUUAUGUGUUUAAGUUAUUUUACUCACAUUGGCCUAUUUUGAGCGACAACAAUCCUGCUGACUCUUGCUGGUCCAAAUUAGUUAAAAUGGCAAAACAUUUUGACCAGAAAGAUCUCUCUUCACAUACCUUUAAGGGAGAAGAAUCAAGGAUAUAUGUCGUAGCAAGUCCUGAGGCACUUGGUAUUGAUGACAUGCAGAAUCACACAAGGAAUUCCACAGAAGGAUCAGAUGAAGUGGUUAUAGACGAUGACAAUGAUAGUCUUUCUUCAAGUUCAAGGCAUGGUGAUGCAUCUAUGUAGGAUGUACCCAAUUCAUCAUAGACAUGGUUUUCUACCUAAAUCUUUAAGAGAUGAACUCAUUUCCCUAAGCUGGGUUCAUAAUUUAUUACCUGAAAAUUAUGUAAAAUAUAUCAUAUGCAAUGUAAUAAAAUAUAACAGUCUUAUCAAUCUUGAUUACAUUGAUUGACUAUCUUCUUUUUGU
This is an RNA transcript of Quercus robur (English oak), 2964 nucleotides long. It is a transcript of the gene named glutamate receptor 2.7-like, with no coding region annotated. NCBI's taxonomy places the organism in Eukaryota, Viridiplantae, Streptophyta, Magnoliopsida, Fagales, Fagaceae. The record is from RefSeq and is a predicted model, not a curated record. The transcript is spliced from 5 exons.